UACGUAGGGCGCAAGCGUUAUCCGGAAUUAUUGGGCGUAAAGAGCUCGUAGGCGGUUUGUCGCGUCUGCCGUGAAAGUCCGGGGCUCAACUCCGGAUCUGCGGUGGGUACGGGCAGACUAGAGUGAUGUAGGGGAGACUGGAAUUCCUGGUGUAGCGGUGAAAUGCGCAGAUAUCAGGAGGAACACCGAUGGCGAAGGCAGGUCUCCGGGCAUUAACUGACGCUGAGGAGCGAAAGCGUGGGGAGCAAACGGG
This 253-nucleotide ribosomal RNA is filed under the name uncultured bacterium. RNAcentral's name for it is "partial 16S ribosomal RNA". It matches the Rfam family "Bacterial small subunit ribosomal RNA", at positions 524 to 776 of the family's 1533-position model. The record is from RNAcentral.